This 108-nucleotide ribosomal RNA is filed under the name Caerostris darwini. The record is from RNAcentral. Lineage: Eukaryota; Metazoa; Arthropoda; Arachnida; Araneae; Araneidae.
GCCGUACCAUGCUGAAUAUACCGGUUCUCGUUAGAUCACCGAAGUUAAGCAUCAUUGGGCGCGGUCAGUACUUGGGUGGGUGACCACCUGGGAACACCGCGUGCCGUU